CCCGGGGGGGGCUUGGAAAUGGGGGAAUUGUGAGCGCAGAAGGGGAGAGGGGAAUUCCCAUGUUGAGCGGAAAAUUGCAGAGAGAUGGGGGAGAACCCCCUGUCGAAAAGGGGUCUCUCGGCUCUGUCACACGCCGCAGAUGCGAAAAAGCGGGGAGAGCACACGAGUUUGAGAUCCCGUUAUUGUCCACCCUGUAAGAUGAGAGCUAAAAGUUUGAGGGGGUUUCGCGCCCCUUGUGCUGCCGAGCUCGCGCUAUACACUCUGCGUCGGGAGUAUGCGCGCACGGGUGUGACUCUAAAGGAUUGACGCGGGCGCGCACAAACGGUGGAGCAUAUGGUUUUUUAUUGAAACAACGCGCAGAAACCUAUCACAUCUUGAGAUACCUUGAGCGCUCCAGAGAGAGAGUCCUUUCCCUCCGGGGACAAAGUGACAGGUGGUGCAUGGUUGUCGUCAGCUCGUGUCGUGAGAUGUUGGGUUAAGUCCCGCAACGAGCGCAACCCUUAAGCUUAGUUGCCAUCAUUAAGUUGGGCACUCUAGGUUGACUGCCGGUGACAAACCGGAGGAAGGUGGGGAUGACGUCAAAUCAUCAUGCCCCUUAUGAUCUGGGCUACACACGUGCUACAAUGGAUAAUACAAAGGGCAGCGAGUCCGCGAGGUCAAGCAAAUCCCAUAAAUUUAUUCUCAGUUCGGAUUGUAGUCUGCAACUCGACUACAUGAAGCUGGAAUCGCUAGUAAUCGUAGAUCAGCAUGCUGCGGUGAAUACGUUCCCGGGUCUUGUACACACCGCCCGUCACACCACGAGAGUUUGUAACACCCGAAGUCGGUGGAGUAACCUUUUAGGAGCUAGCCGUUCGAAGGUGGCAACGGG
Molecule: ribosomal RNA, 868 nt
Filed under: Staphylococcus sp.
Lineage: Bacteria; Bacillati; Bacillota; Bacilli; Caryophanales; Staphylococcaceae
Description: bacterial SSU rRNA
Rfam family: Bacterial small subunit ribosomal RNA
Source: RNAcentral